This 1081-nucleotide long non-coding RNA is filed under the name Coturnix japonica (Japanese quail). Its description in RNAcentral is "lncRNA (ENSCJPG00005000887.1)". Lineage: Eukaryota; Metazoa; Chordata; Aves; Galliformes; Phasianidae. The record is from RNAcentral.
CCUUGAUUGCUAAAGUUUGCUAUCAGUGCAGAGCGUGUAGCUGAUAUUGUGUAUCAUCAAACUCGUUUCUUUAUCUUCAAAAGUAACACCUAAACUUGUUAUGAAUAAACAUAAACAGGGUGCCUGUUCCUCGUUUAUUAAAUAUAAGCUGUAAUAGAGAGAGUGAGCACAUACUUCGUAGCUGAGAAGCAAUGAUAAAUUUGUUCUCAGCCCAAGAAGAAACAUCUACUGAAUUUGGGGCAGAUGGAAGAAUAUGUGGCCUGAGCUCAAGAGUGACCAUAGUUUGAAACGAGAAGAUAUGCACAGAACUCCAUGAAGUCUUACAGCAAUGACACAACACUCAUUUUUUGUCUGCAUUAUCUGGUGGUCUUUCCUUCAGGAUAUAAGAAACACUGAAUGGUUAUGGUCCUUCAACCAGUUGACUUCCUCUCACUUCGACUUUACAAGAAGUUAUGACUCUGAGAGUGAGGGGCCUUAUGACAGUCCAAACUCCCAUUCCUCAGACCUGUUGCUCAGCCCAUCCAGUGAUGACAUGUCCCUGGCAGUUCAAGCUUUUUCUCAUGUCACUGCAUUCCUCAAGGGAACUCUUCAAUGAUUCUUUUUUUUCUCCCCUUCUUUUCUUAACUUCAGAAUUUUUGCACUGUGGAUCCACGGAGAGUACAGGCACAUAUCACCUGUCAGUCUACAAAUGUCCCAUCCUUCAUGACUUGCUGGCCCAGAGGAGGGAACUACAGUGCUGCUAAUUUCAGGUACCAGCAGCUUUCCUCCUGGUAGCCUUAUCAUGCCUGCUCCCCACACCGGUUGCCACCUGCUCCAGAGAUAUUGAUGUGCAGCCUGAACUCCAAUUGCAUGUCUGGUUUGUGGAUGCACAGAAAUUCCUGGUACCUAUGUCCAAAUUUAACUAUUUCAUUGCUUUCUCUGCAGGAUAUGCAUCUCUCCUCCUGAAGCUGGAUCUAAAGCACAGUGCCAGAAUCACUCUGAUGUUGUCUUCACCAUAACUAUAGCAUAAGAGUAGUCAAUUUACUGCAAUCCUGCACACCACUUAAAUAAAUUUCAGAGGGGAUAAUUCCUUUUAAAUAGA